This is a long non-coding RNA of Oncorhynchus keta (chum salmon), 3184 nucleotides long. RefSeq lists it as uncharacterized. Lineage: Eukaryota; Metazoa; Chordata; Actinopteri; Salmoniformes; Salmonidae. The transcript is spliced from 2 exons. The record is from RefSeq and is a predicted model, not a curated record.
UGUUGUAUUCAGCAUUUCACUGUAAGGUCUACUACACCUGUUGUAUUCAGCAUUUCACUGUGAGGUCUACUACACCUGUUGUGUUCAGCAUUUCACUGUGAGGUCUACUACACCUGUUGUAUUCAGCAUUUCACUGUAAGGUCGACUACACCUGUUGUAUUCAGCAUUUCACUGUGAGGUCUACUACACCUGUUGUAUUCAGCAUUUCACUGUAAGGUCGACUACACCUGUUGUAUUCAGCAUUUCACUGUGAGGUCUACUACACCUGUUGUAUUCAGCAUUUCACUGUAAGGUCUACUACACCUGUUGUAUUCAGCAUUUCACUGUGAGGUCUACUACACCUGUUGUAUUCAGCAUUUCACUGUAAGGUCUACUACACCUGUUGUAUUCAGCAUUUCACUGUAAGGUCUACUACACCUGUUGUAUUCAGCAUUUCACUGUAAGGUCUACUACACCUGUUGUAUUCAGCAUUUCACUGUAAGGUCUACUACACCUGUUGUAUUCAGCAUUUCACUGUAAGGUCUACUACACCUGUUGUAUUCAGCAUUUCACUGUAAGGUCUACUACACAUGUUUUAUUCAGCAUUUCACUGUAAGGUCUACUACACCUGUUGUAUUCAGCAUUUCACUGUAAGGUCUACUACACCUGUUGUAUUCAGCAUUUCACUGUAAGGUCUACUACACCUGUUGUAUUCAGCAUUUCACUGUAAGGUCUACUACACCUGUUGUAUUCAGCAUUUAACUGUAAUGUCUACUACACCUGUUGUUAUCAUCAUUUAACUGUGAGGUCUACUACACCUGUUGUAUUCAGCAUUUCACUGUAAGGUCUACUACACCUGUUGUAUUCAGCAUUUCACUGUAAGGUCUACUACACCUGUUGUAUUCAGCAUUUCACUGUAAGGUCUACUACACCUGUUGUAUUCAGCAUUUAACUGUAAUGUCUACUACACCUGUUGUUAUCAUCAUUUAACUGUGAGGUCUACUACACCUGUUGUAUUCAGCAUUUCACUGUAAGGUCUACUACACCUGUUGUAUUCAGCAUUUCACUGUAAGGUCUACUACACCUGUUGUAUUCAGCAUUUAACUGUAAUGUCUACUACACCUGUUGUAUUCAGCAUUUAACUGUGAGGUCUACUACACCUGUUGUAUUCAGCAUUUCACUGUAAGGUCUACUACACCUGUUGUAUUCAGCAUUUAACUGUAAGGUCUACUACACCUGUUGUAUUCAGCAUUUCACUGUAAGGUCUACUACACCUGUUGUAUUCAGCAUUUCACUGUAAGGUCUACUACACCUGUUGUAUUCAGCAUUUCACUGUAAGGUCUACUACACCUGUUGUAUUCAGCAUUUCACUGUAAGGUCUACUACACCUGUUGUAUUCAGCAUUUCACUGUAAGGUCUACUACACCUGUAGUAUUCAGCAUUUCACUGUGAGGUCUACUACACCUGUUGUAUUCAGCAUUUCACUGUGAGGUCUACUACACCUGUUGUAUUCAGCAUUUCACUGAGGUCUACUACACCUGUUGUAUUCAGCAUUUCACUGUAAGGUCUACUACACAUGUUGUAUUCAGCAUUUCACUGUGAGGUCUACUACACAUGUUGUAUUCAGCAUUUCACUGUAAGGUCUACUACACCUGUUGUAUUCAGCAUUUCACUGUAAGGUCUACUACACCUGUUGUAUUCAGCAUUUCACUGUAAGGUCUACUACACCUGUUGUAUUCAGCAUUUCACUGUAAGGUCUACUACACCUGUUGUAUUCAGCAUUUCACUGUAAGGUCUACUACACCUGUUGUAUUCAGCAUUUCACUGUAAGGUCUACUACACCUGUUGUAUUCAGCAUUUCACUGUGAGGUCUACUACACCUGUUGUAUUCAGCAUUUCACUGUGAGGUCUACUACACCUGUUGUAUUCAGCAUUUCACUGAGGUCUACUACACCUGUUGUAUUCAGCAUUUCACUGUAAGGUCUACUACACAUGUUGUAUUCAGCAUUUCUCUGUAAGGUCUACUACACCUGUUGUAUUCAGCAUUUCACUGUAAGGUCUUCUACACCUGUUGUAUUCAGCAUUUCACUGUAAGGUCUACUACACCUGUUGUAUUCAGCAUUUCACUGUAAGGUCUACUACACCUGUUGUAUUCAGCAUUUCACUGUAAGGUCUACUACACCUGUUGUAUUCAGCAUUUCACUGUAAGGUCUACUACACCUGUUGUAUUCAGCAUUUCACUGUAAGGUCUACUACACCUGUUGUAUUCAGCAUUUCACUGUAAGGUCUACUACACCUGUUGUAUUCAGCAUUUCACUGUAAGGUCUACUACACCUGUUGUAUUCAGCAUUUCACUGUAAGGUCUACUACACCUGUUGUAUUCAGCAUUUCACUGUGAGGUCUACUACACCUGUUGUAUUCAGCAUUUCACUGUGAGGUCUAUUACACCUGUUGUAUUCAGCAUUUCACUGUGAGGUCUAUUACACCUGUUGUAUUCAGCAUUUCACUGUAAGGUCUACUACACCUGUUGUAUUCAGCAUUUCACUGUAAGGUCUACUACACCUGUAGUAUUUGGCGCAUGUGACAAAUCAUAUUUGAUUUGUUGCUGUUUUUUAAAUAUAUAUUUUUAGGCCCCCUUUGUUGUUACUAAGUGGGUAAUACCGUAUAUCACAGUAUGAGAGAAGGACGGUAUGAGGAUAUGAAAACCUGGAUACCCGUCAAAAGCUUAGGCCUCCGCAUCAACCGGUACCGGGACCACUGGACAAGUGGGACGCUCUCAGAGAGCUGGGUCUGCGUCUAUCAAAAAGGGUCAAGUACAAAACGGAGGAAGUUAAUCUGUAGCUUAGAUUUAAUUUAAAUUAAAUUAAAAAGUGGACACAAAUGAUUUUUUUUUUUUUAAACUAACAAACUACUAGACUUAUGGAAGAGUGUACCACCCAGGCCAGUCCAAUAGCCAACACAUGGUGUGGAACCUACAAAAAAGCCCAUACAGUACCGACCAAUACUACUCACCGGACAGACGGGGGGCAGGUGUGGAUCAGUGCUGCCACGGCAACAGGCUUCCGUUACCAGUCGCCUUGACAUCAGUCAACAAGUUCCAACUUCAACUUGAGAGUGGAGCAUGUGCCAUGUACCAAUACCAUUGUACCCAAUAGUGGAGACAUUUUGACUUGAUAAAGAGUGGACAGAUCCACACCUGAAUGAU